Molecule: long non-coding RNA, 2126 nt
Organism: Apis mellifera (honey bee)
Lineage: Eukaryota; Metazoa; Arthropoda; Insecta; Hymenoptera; Apidae
Exons: 2
Source: RefSeq, a predicted model, not a curated record
UUUCUGCUCGAUAUUGAAUAAUAGUCUAAAAGAAAUGUGGAAAUCCAGAAUAUUUUUGGAAUUUGACGGUUCGGAUAUAAAGCAGAUUAUCGGGAGCAGGUCGAAGAUUCAGAAAUCAAGGAAACUGAGUUACAAGUUAUUAACUCAUUACAAGAUCGUUGUAAUAUUAGAUUAGCCGAUACCAACGUGAAAAAAAUCUUCAAUUAAAUGUGAAAUGAAAGAACUAUCCUUUCCCUAAUAAUAAUGUAUGAAAUAAAAUGACAUAAAAUUGGAUAUAAUGUCAAAUAACAAAUAUUACAUAAUUAAAAGUGAACAUCUCAGUGAUAUUUGAUGUAAUUGUUUAUUUUAAUCCUUUGAAAUAUUUAUUUUAAAUAUGAUAAAAUUUAAUUAAAUUUUAUCUUUAAUAGUAUUUUAUAAAUUAAAUUUAUAAAAUAAGCGAGCGGUAGUAAUAUAUCUUUAUAGAAGCGUUUCAAAGGAUCAUGAUAUCGAAACAGCAUUUAAAAUGUUGGUAUCGACGUAUUUUAUAUGCUGACUCGAAUAAUUAAAUAUAUUGCAUUUGUUUUUUUUUUUUUCUUUUUUUUUUUUAUAUAAUAUUAAAGUAAUUUACGGCGAAAAUAAAGCUCUAUGCAACUUACGAAUAUAAUUACCAUCAAAAUGUAAAUUGAAAUAGCUGGCACAUAUACAAGGCUUUCCAAAAACAUCACGUUUCACAAUAACAAGCUCCUCUCUGCCUUAAAACGGCAAUACUCGCAUCGUCUCUCUCCUUCCAGUUCUUUUCUUCAUCUAGUUUAGCUAUCAUAUUACUUUUAAUACAUUCUCUCUCCCAUUUUUUAAUUUUCUAGAAAGUGUAGUUUCCCUGGUAUCAUUGUGAUCAUUUUUCCUCUCAUAUUUUUUUUAAUGUGUAUUCAGCACCAUAUAAUUUCAAGAAAACCUUCGCGUAAAGUAUACGUUUUCUUUUUUUUUUUUAUUUUCUCGUCUCUGUACCCGUCUCGAGUGCACCCUGUUGGCGCAAUUCCAAAGUCGCCGCACUUUAAGGCAAUUGCUUGACGACACUGCAAUAUGGUCGAAGAAUAUCAAAUCUGCUGAUUUAUUGCAGAAAAGAUACACUUCGACAUGUACAGUACUAUGUGAUCGCAUAUUCUUCAUUAACACGCAAAUUCCGUGCGUUAUUAAUAUAUUUCACAAAUAUUUCACGAAAAAAUAAAUCGUUAAAUAUAUAUAUAUAUAUAUAUAUAUAUAUAUAUAUGAAACGUAUAUGACGUAUUAACACGUAAAUUCGAUUUUUUUUCCAAAAUUAAUUAUACUUUCGCACGACUGUUGAAUAUGAAUUUGUGCAUUAAUGUUUCAAGUCGCGCAUAUACUGUACAUAUCCGGUACCGUAAAAAUAUCACAAAGAAAUGAUUAUUUGAACAAUCAAUAAAAUGUAUUAAUUUAUAUUGCCAGACAAUUAGUUAAUAUAGAGUUAAACAUUACCUAGUAACAAAAAUUAUUCGUUUAUUGAUUCGUAUAUAAAUAUAAACAUGGAAAUAAAGGGAGAAAAUGCAAUGUAUAAAAUAUACAAAUGUAGUACUAGGAAGUAAAUCAUACUUAAAAACAAAUUUUUCAAUUUUAAAUUUUACUCAUUCAACAAAAUUGAUACGGCAGUUAUUACACAAAUAAUUAUUUUAAAUUCUACACACAUUUUUGGAUUUUUCUUAUUACGAGGAAGAAUAAAUAAAACAUAAUAAUAAUAAAUAAAACAAGAUCUUAUAACAUAAUAUCGAGUAUAAGAAAAUAAAUAUAUAUUAUUGUUAUUAUUCUUAAUCACGUUGAUCGUUCUUCGAUUAUUUCGUUGCGUGCAAUAUACCUUUUCAGAAUGCAUAAUUCCAUUUCAUGGAUAUUAUAAGUUUCGUAUUUUCCAGUUGUAUGCAUUCGUUUUAAAAUUUACAGAAACACGUAAUAAACAAGCAUGUUCUAUAUUACAUUGGAGACAAUAUAGAAUUAAACAAAAAUAAAUAUAAAUAAUACUGUAAAAGACUUACAUCAUAUAAGUACUAAUGUUCUCCGCAAUUAUUCAUAACAAUAUUAAAUAUUUUAUCAUUGAAUUACUUAUGACAAAAAAAAAAAAAAAAAAAAAAAAAAAGAAA